This 269-nucleotide unclassified non-coding RNA is filed under the name uncultured fungus. Its description in RNAcentral is "sequence contains ITS1". The record is from RNAcentral. Lineage: Eukaryota; Fungi.
GUAUAGAUUUUAAAGGCAGUUAAGCCCAUUAAUGACAUUCUAAAACAUGUGUAGGGGUAUAUAUAAAAACAUAAACCGGAAGUGCAAGGAAAGCCGGCUUGCGCACGGCAAUCCUCAAAACCGAGUUUCCUCGAGAGAUAUCCAGGUCUACAAAAGGUGCACAGGUGGUAAAAAGGUUGGUUGUCAGGCGUGCACAUGCUCCGGAGAGCCAGCAACAACCCAACCAAGCUUAUUCAAUAAUGAUCCUUCCGCAGGUUCACCUACGGAAA